CCUACGGGUGGCAGCAGUGAGGAAUAUUGGUCAAUGGGCUGACGCCUGAACCAGCCAAGUCGCGUGAGGGAAUACUGCCCUAUGGGUCGUAAACCUCUUUUGCCAGGGAGCAAGGCCGGCGACGUGUCCCGGCACGGAGAGUACCCGGAGAAAAAGCAUCGGCUAACUCCGUGCCAGCAGCCGCGGUAAUACGGAGGAUGCGAGCGUUAUCCGGAUUUAUUGGGUUUAAAGGGUGCGUAGGCGGGAUUUUAAGUCAGCGGUAAAAUGUCGGGGCUCAACCCCGUUCCGCCGUUGAAACUGGUGGUCUUGAGUGGGCGAGAAGAAUGCGGAAUGCGUGGUGUAGCGGUGAAAUGCAUAGAUAUCACGCAGAACCCCGAUUGCGAAGGCAGCCUACCGGCGCCCUACUGACGCUGAGGCACGAAAGUGCGGGUAUCGAACAGGAUUAGAUACCCUUGUAGUC
This 460-nucleotide ribosomal RNA is filed under the name uncultured bacterium. RNAcentral describes it as "partial 16S ribosomal RNA". It matches the Rfam family "Bacterial small subunit ribosomal RNA", at positions 338 to 795 of the family's 1533-position model. The record is from RNAcentral.